AUUGAACGCUGGCGGCAUGCUUUACACAUGCAAGUCGAACGGCAGCACGGGCUUCGGCCUGGUGGCGAGUGGCGAACGGGUGAGUAAUGCAUCGGAACGUGCCGUGUAGUGGGGGAUAACGUAGCGAAAGUUACGCUAAUACCGCAUACGCCCUGAGGGGGAAAUGGGGGACCGCAAGGCCUCACGCUAUACGAGCGGCCGAUGUCGGAUUAGCUAGUUGGUAGGGUAAAGGCCUACCAAGGCGACGAUCCGUAGCGGGUCUGAGAGGAUGAUCCGCCACACUGGGACUGAGACACGGCCCAGACUCCUACGGAGGCAGCAGUGGGGAAUUUUGGACAAUGGGCGCAAGCCUGAUCCAGCCAUGCCGCGUGAGUGAAGAAGGCC
Molecule: ribosomal RNA, 384 nt
Filed under: uncultured bacterium
Lineage: Bacteria
Description: bacterial SSU rRNA
Rfam family: Bacterial small subunit ribosomal RNA
Source: RNAcentral